This is a non-coding RNA of Cymbomonas tetramitiformis, 72 nucleotides long. NCBI's taxonomy places the organism in Eukaryota, Viridiplantae, Chlorophyta, Pyramimonadophyceae, Pyramimonadales, Pyramimonadaceae. The record is from the annotation of a GenBank genome assembly.
AACUAUAAUGGUCUCAAUGGUAGAAUUAUGUCCUUGGAUGGCAGAGACCCGAGUUCGAAUCCCGGUUGGUUG